CAGUCGCCGCGGGAAUACGAAGGGUGCAAGCGUUACUCGGAAUUACUGGGCGUAAAGCGUGCGUAGGUGGUGGUUUAAGUCCGUUGUGAAAGCCCUGGGCUCAACCUGGGAAUUGCAGUGGAUACUGGAUCACUAGAGUGUGGUAGAGGAUAGUAGAAUUUCAGGUGUAGCAGUGAAAUGCGUAGAGAUCGGAAGGAACAUCUGUGGCGAAGGCGACUAUCUGGGCCAACACUGACACUGAGGCACGAAAGCGUGGGGAGCAAACAGGAUUAGAUACCCGUGUAGUCCCUGUCUCUUAUAC
RNAcentral lists this ribosomal RNA (301 nucleotides) under uncultured bacterium. RNAcentral describes it as "partial 16S ribosomal RNA". It matches the Rfam family "Bacterial small subunit ribosomal RNA", at positions 509 to 807 of the family's 1533-position model. The record is from RNAcentral.